GGUUCGAUUAUGGCUCCAGAUUGAACGCUGGCGGGAUGCUUUACACAUGCAAGUCGAACGGCAGCCUGGACACGGUCUGGUGGCGAGUGGCGAACAGGUGAGUAAUGUAUCGGAACGUGCCUAGUAGCGGGGGAUAACUACGCGAAAGCGGCCAGCUAAUACCGCAUACGCCCUUCGGGGAAGCGGGGGACCUUCGGGCCUCGCACUAUUAGAAGCGGCCGAUAUCGGAUUAGCUAGUUGGUGCAAGGGUAACGGCUCGCAAGGCGACGAUCCGUAGCUGGUUUUGAGAGGACGACCAGCCACACUGGGACUGAGACAGCCCCGAACUCCUGCAGGAGGCAGCAGUGGGGGAAUUUUGGACAAUGGGGGAAACCCUGAUCCAGCCAUCCCGCGUGUGCGAUGAAGGCCUUCGGGUUGUAAACACUUUUUUGGCAGGAAAGAAACGGCCUGGGAUAAUACCCCGUGCAACUGGCCAAACACCGCAGAAUAAGCACCGGCCCCAACUACGUGCCAGCAGCCGCGGUAAUACGUAGGGUGCAAGCGUUAAUCGGAAUUACUGGGCGUAAAGCGUGCGCGAGCGGUUCGGAAGAAAGAUGUGAAAUCCAGUGCACGGGCGCUUUUCACUUUGCGAAGAUAUAAGAUGUCAGGGAGGUGGAAUUCAGCGUGUAGCAGUGAAAUGCGUAGAUAUGCGGAGGAACACCGAUGGCGAAGGCAGCCUCCUGGGAUAACUUGCAGACGCUCAUGCACGAAAGCGUGGGAGCAAACAGGAUUAGAUACCCUGGUAGUCCACGCCCUAACGAUGUCAACUAGCUGUUGGGGCCUUCGGGCCUUGGUAGCGCAGCUAACGCGGAUGACCGCCUGGGGAAGUACGGUCGCAAGAAUUAAAACUCAAGGAAUUGACGGGGACCCGCACAAGCGGUGGAUGAUGUGGAUUAAUUCGAUGCAACGCGAAAAGCCUUACCUACCCUUGACAUGUCUGGAAUCCCGAAGAGAUUUGGGAGUGCUCGCAAGAGAACCGGAACACAGGUGCUGCAUAGCGGCUGUCGUCAGCUCGUGUCGUGAGAUGUUGGGUUAAGUCCGCAACGAAAGGCAUGGCCUUGUCAUUAGUUGCUACGAAGAGCCUCUAAUGAGACUGCCGGUGACAAACCGGAGGAAGGUGGGGAUGACGUCAAGUCCUCAUGGCCCUUGCCGGGUAAGGAAAGCUACACGUCAUGCAAUGGUCGGGACAGAGGGUCGAUGCCGUGGAGGUGGUCCGGGAUGAUCUCAUGCGGAAGUCAUUGCUGGGUGAUCUUGUGAGUCUGUGUUUCAAAAUGCGGGAGUCAUUUGAUCUUUUUCAUGUGUAUUCAUGUGAAUCUUUCAUCUUGUGUGACCAGAACCUUCAGCAGGUCUUACUUUGCCAAAAUCAUUUAUAUGGCGGGACGACUUUGCGAUGGGACCGCCUAACCGUAAGGAGGGCGAUUACCACGGUAGGAUUCGACGACUGGUUGAUGCAACGACAAAGGUAG
This 1505-nucleotide ribosomal RNA is filed under the name uncultured Bordetella sp. Its description in RNAcentral is "partial 16S-23S ribosomal RNA intergenic spacer". It matches the Rfam family "Bacterial small subunit ribosomal RNA". Lineage: Bacteria; Pseudomonadati; Pseudomonadota; Betaproteobacteria; Burkholderiales; Alcaligenaceae. The record is from RNAcentral.